CGGGGUGCAGCAGGCGCGAAAACUUUACAAUGCGGGAAACCGUGAUAAGGGGACACCGAGUGCCAGCAUCAUAUGCUGGCUGUCCGGGUGUGUAAAAUACACCCGUUAGCAAGGGCCGGGCAAGACCGGUGCCAGCCGCCGCGGUAACACCGGCGGCCCGAGUGGUGAUCGUGAUUAUUGGGUCUAAAGGGUCCGUAGCCGGUUUGGUCAGUCCUCCGGGAAAUCUGAUAGCUCAACUAUUAGGCUUUCGGGGGAUACUGCCAGGCUUGGAACCGGGAGAGGUAAGAGGUACUACAGGGGUAGGAGUGAAAUCUUGUAAUCCCUGUGGGACCACCUGUGGCGAAGGCGUCUUACCAGAACGGGUUCGACGGUGAGGGACGAAAGCUGGGGGCACGAACCGGAUUAGAUACCCGGGUAGUCCCAGCCGUAAACGAUGCUCGCUAGGUGUCAGGCAUGGCGCGACCGUGUCUGGUGCCGCAGGGAAGCCGUGAAGCGAGCCACCUGGGAAGUACGGCCGCAAGGCUGAAACUUAAAGGAAUUGGCGGGGGAGCAC
This 553-nucleotide ribosomal RNA is filed under the name uncultured archaeon. RNAcentral describes it as "bacterial SSU rRNA". It matches the Rfam family "Archaeal small subunit ribosomal RNA", at positions 326 to 879 of the family's 1478-position model. The record is from RNAcentral.